UGGCAGGAAAAUGAGUCGAGAGACACUUAGCGCCAUAUGUUGUUGAGGUUGAGAACUUAAAAGCAAGUGACCACACCAGCACCUGUUACUUUGUGAUUGCUGCCCCACCCACUCUUUGACUGGAAAGAGAGCAAGUGUGUGAAUUUGUUUGUGCCGUUUCUUAGGUUCUCUUCUCCCAAAUCCUGGGGGACGAUCAUCGUUGCAACAUGGUUUGGCUUUUGAUUCUCUGGGUUGUCCAAGGUUCUACUGCCUCGAUGGGGCCACGUCGCAGACAAAAUGAUUGGUAUAAAACACCUGAAACCAGAGAAGAGGACUUACAGUUCGACCUUGCUAUCAUGGAGGGAGACAUUCUGGUUUCGG
Long non-coding RNA from Oncorhynchus kisutch (coho salmon), 360 nucleotides. RefSeq lists it as uncharacterized. The transcript has 3 exons. NCBI's taxonomy places the organism in Eukaryota, Metazoa, Chordata, Actinopteri, Salmoniformes, Salmonidae. The record is from RefSeq and is a predicted model, not a curated record.